GCAUAUCUAUGAGCGGAGGAAAAGACACCAACAGGGAUUGCCUCAGUAACGGCGAGUGAAGCGGCAAAAGCUCAAAUUUGAAAGCUUCGGCAUUGUAAUUUGAAGAAAUAAAACCCACGGCGAGGCGAAACAAGUCCAUUGGAAAAUGGCGCCACAGAGGGUGACAGCCCCGUAGUUUCUCCCCUCACCCAACCGUUUUAUUUCCAAGAGUCGAGUUGUUUGGGAUUGCAGCUCUAACGGUGGUAAAUUCCAUCUAAAGCUAAAUACUGGCGAGAGACCGAUAGCGAACAAGUACAGUGAUGGAAAGAUGAAAAGCACUUUGAAAAGAGAGUGAAAAAGUACGUGAAAUUGUUGAAAGGGAAGGGCUUGACCGGCUGGGGAGGUCGGGGAAAAAGAGGCCAAAACAAGCAAGGAAUGUAACUCUCGAGUAUUAUAUCCUCGCCCACACCCUCACUUUUCCCCGUGGACCGCUAACAGGAUCUCCCCCCAAUCCGGCCAAGUCGCCCGUCUUGAAACACGGACCAAGGAGUCUAACGUCGAUGCAAGUGUUUGGGCGUAAACCCCAAGCGCGCAGUGAAAACAAAGGAAGAGUUACAUCUUCUCCCUCCCUCCGCCUCCUGGCAAAGGGAGAGGAAGCAUCCCCGUUGGGACCCGAAAGAUGGUGAACUAUACCUGGAUAGGGUGAAGCCAGAGGAAACUCUGGUGGAGGCUCGCAGCGGUUUCUGACGUGCAAAUCGAUUCGUCGAAUCUGGGUAUAAGGGCGAAAGACUAAUCGAACCAUCUCGUAGCUGGUUCCUGCGGA
RNAcentral lists this ribosomal RNA (802 nucleotides) under Metschnikowia lunata. RNAcentral describes it as "LSU rRNA". It matches the Rfam family "Eukaryotic large subunit ribosomal RNA", at positions 38 to 964 of the family's 3401-position model. The record is from RNAcentral. Lineage: Eukaryota; Fungi; Ascomycota; Pichiomycetes; Serinales; Metschnikowiaceae.